This is a long non-coding RNA of Homo sapiens (human), 2751 nucleotides long. Ensembl annotates it as cutA divalent cation tolerance like, pseudogene. Its record names the gene CUTALP. The record is from Ensembl. NCBI's taxonomy places the organism in Eukaryota, Metazoa, Chordata, Mammalia, Primates, Hominidae.
GUCCCUGAGAUGGCUAUGGGGCUGCCAAGCCUCGCGAGAAGCCUCCGUUAGGGCCGUGUCAACUGUAGCCAGUGGUUGCGGCUCCCUCAGUCUGGCGUCAUCUAGGUCGCUGCUCAGGGAAAUGCGGAGGCCAGUAGGCUUACGUGUUUACCGCGUAGGGCAAAGCCUUGCCAAAUUCCCGGCCAGCGGAGCGGCGAGGGUGGGGACUCACGGGAAGUUAAACAGCCUCGUCGGCGUCCUCGAGGCUCCAAAACCAGGCUCUAGGCGGGGACGACUGCAGCCGUUAUGGAGGCCACCGCGGCUACGGCCGCGGCUGAGGCCUCCCCAGGUGGAGCGGUGGCCUGGAGGGGAAUCUUGAUCCUGGGCCAGCCACCUGUCAAGAGGAGGCGGAGCGUCAUGCCUCUGGAAGACUGGAUGAAUAUUCUCCAGGAGCCUGACGAAGGCGGCCAUGCUGGAUAAGGAGCUGGCUGCCUCUGUGAACAUCCUACUCAAGGCAUCUUCACUGCUGUACAUCCUUUUGAAAUCCCAGAGAUCUUCAGUCUCCCUGUGGAUUAAGGAGAUGUGCAGUAUUUAAAGUGGCUUCAGGAAGGCAUGGAAGAGGACUGAGUGGGGAAAGCUUUUUGUGCAUGCUGCUGGCUACCUCCAGCGGCUGCCUCCAGCCUCCAUCAGCUGCACUCUGGGGAAGAGGAGGCUGCCUUCUACCUCCCAGCAUCUCUGGAUUUCAUGUUCCUGUCAGCACAGAGGAGCUAAAUGGCCUGUAGAGGCUGAAGGUCUGAGGCUCCUAAAGCUGGAAGAAAAGGCUGGGCCAGUCAGGCCAAGCAAGAACACAGUGUAACUUGUCUCUGAGUGCUUCAUGGUUAAGGGGGCUAAGCAGGCACAAGGGCAUGAGGAUGGUUAUAUGUACAGACUGAGGGGAAGAAGCAGUGAAGAUGAGACUUGCCAUCUUCUUGAGUCAGUAGGCCUGCCUCAGGUGCCUAGGAUGUAAUUGCUCUGCUGCUUCUCAUGGGGAGGAGUGGCCCUCAUGACCUUGUUUACCUGGAAGAGUGUGGGAUGAAUGCCUCCUCCUAUGGGGACUCGCAAGUGCUUUAGCAAAAGGAUAAAUUGCUAAUUGUGGCAUUUCGUGGAUCAGCAGGAUUAUUUCUCCUUGCUAAAGAGGAUUUUGUUGGUCCUGAAUUCUGAGGAGGUGGGACUAGGAAUGGGCUCCAUGAGCCUGUGUAUGACUCAGGGAAUAUUAGGACUUUGGCACAGCCUCAUGGGUUGGGAGUAAGUCUUGGCUCUUCCCUAGCCUGAAUGACAGACAUCAGAUCAUUCUGGUGCUUUGUCCAUGAAGAUGUAGAUUCUGAGCCCACCCAACUAAUCUUUUCACUUGAGCACAGAAACAGCCCCGGGAAUCGGACAGACCCGUGUCUUUCAGGUUUGCUUCACAGAGCCCCAGGGGUUGACAAUAGGUGCCUUGGAGACUGCCUGCAUGGGGAUUUUUAAAAAGCUUUCUUUGUUAAAGGUUUGUAAACCACUCCUCUGAGCCUGUUUUCAUUUUAUAGAUUAUUCAGGGAACUGAACUGCACAGAGAUCCAGAAAGUGGGUAGUGCAGGCUGUAGUGCUGAUAACUACUGUACUACUUGGAUCUUUGUGCUCCCAAAUACCAAAUGGAAGAGGAUCUCUGAGAGUCCUUUGCAAAGAUCUUGUAGGGACUUUAGGCUGGGGCCUUCGGAAAAUUCCAGAGGAUUCCAAUGGAGAUUUUGAGGGACUGACUCAGAAGAACAAAGAGAAUGAUAAUGGUGAUGUCCCUGCUUUUUACAACAGAUCAUGUUCUGAUAUAUAUGCAAAUCUGUGUAAAGUAAACCCUACCUAAAAUGUACUGGGGACCCAAGAUGGACUGCCUGUAUUGCUUCCAGGAUAAAGUCCAAUUUCUAGCUCUGGUUUUUAUAACCUUGCUUCAGCUCACCUUUUCCGUCAUCAUCCCCUCCAUCUCCUCUCCCACGCUGGGAAAUGGAUGGCUGCACUAUACUGUGUGAUGUUAUUGCUAUGUUCAUGCCAUCCCCUCUGCCUGGAAUGCCCUUCUGCAUGAAUGCCUGUGAAAUGUUGUUGCUCCUUUGUAUGGCCUGGCUUCCGUGGUUGGCAGGAAUCUCUUCUUUCGUGGUAUUCCUGUCAUCUUUGUGCAUCACAGUCAGCUUUGUAUUCCUAGCUUGUAAGCUACUUGAGGAUAGGGGCAUGUCUGAAUCUAUUUAAUCUCUUGCACCUGUUUGGCAAAUUGAUGUUUUAAGUAUUUAAAUAACUAAAGCUCUCUCUACAGUACAUACUCACUUUUGAUUUAUGAAUUGGCAAAAUUCAACUUUUUUCCUUGAAUAUUCUUAAAGUGAGAUGAAUUCCAAAGGAGAGUGUUCUGUGUGUGGCCUUCAUUGAGUGGUUUUCUGUUACCAGAAAGCUCUUGGUGGCCUUCCUCUUCCCUGGUGUCAAGGUUGACUGUUAUAGGAAAUGGGAGGGGAGAGGGCCGUUUCUGCCACGCAUUGUCCUAGGUUCUUAACAUUAUUUAAUCCUUAUAAUGCAAUGUUAUCCUCAUUUUACAGAUGAAACCUGAGACCAAAGAACAUGUAACACAUAAAGUACAUUGCAGAGUUAGGAUGUGAACCCAACUCUGAUUCUAAACCUAAUGCUCUCACUCUUUCAUUCAGAGGUUCAGUCAGUUCUUUGUAGGCUGUAGAUCCAGAGAAGCUGCCGUAGCCAACAAUGAAGUUGUUAGUUUUUAAAACA